RNAcentral lists this long non-coding RNA (4776 nucleotides) under Homo sapiens (human). Its description in RNAcentral is "HSALNT0096431". Lineage: Eukaryota; Metazoa; Chordata; Mammalia; Primates; Hominidae. The record is from RNAcentral.
CCCUCUACAGUCUAUUCCCACCACAGAAGCUAAAGUGAUCUUUCCUACAUUUAGAUUAUACCAUUCCCCAGAUUAAGUCCUCUAAUGGUUUCCCAACUCACUCGUAUAAAUACAAAUCGUUACUAUUGUCUUCAAAUCCCUAUAUGGUCUGGAUUCUUGCCAUUUUUCCAACUUCAUUUCUUCUCUUUCUUUUGAUUAUUCUAUUCCAGCCACUCUGGUCUUUUUGCUUUGCCAGAACACUAAACUCAGCUUGCACCAGCCUCGAGACCUUUGCACUUGCUAUUUUCUCUGCCUGGAAAGCUUUUCUCCCAGACAUUUAAGUAGCACCUCCUUUCAUUCAGAUCCUAUUCAAAUAACCUAUUCUCAAUCCUGCAAUAGGUGUUGCUGACCACAUAUCUAAAGUGAUGACUUUCUCCCCUCCUAUUGGUCUAUUUUUACUCUAUUUUUCCUUGUUAAAUAUUUAUCACUGAGUGAAACCAAAGUAUCCAUCUGUUUAUUUAUUUCUUUAUCUCUCUUUCCUGUAAUAGGUUCUGUUUGAUCAAGGACUUUCUUAUCGCUGUGUCCUCAGCCCUCCAGCAGUCCCCUCCACCUCAGAGGAAUCCAAUAAAAGUGUUGAAUUAAUGAGAAUUCAUCAUUAUACCUUUUCCUUGUUAAACACAGUCAUUUAUAGUGGGGUUUCACUGCAAUAAUUUGAUUCACUCAACAAUAAAAGUGAUAGUAACAGGAGAUAGGGCUCUGACAGCCAUCUUGGGAAAAAAGGCACAUUUGGAUGUCUAGUUCUGGGCGAAUGAAGGAAGUCUUCUGACUCAAGGGUCUGUGUCACUGGUUGGGAAAAGAACAUUAAACUCUAACACUAAACUCUAGCAUAAGGCCUCAGGCUGACCUAUUUGGCCUUUCAAAGUAAUGGGUUAGGGCCGGGUGCAGUGGUUCAUGCCUAUAAUCCCAGCACUUUGGGAGGCCAAGGUGGGUGGAUCACCUGAGGUCAGGAGUUCAAGACCAACCUGGUCAACAUAGUGAAAUCCAGUCUAUUAAAAAUACGAAAAUUAUCCAGAUAUGGUGGUACAUGCCUGUAAUCCCAGCUUCUCUGGAGGCUGAGACAGGAGAAUCACUUGAACCCAGGAGGCGGAGGUUGCAGUGAGCCAAGAUGGUGCCACUGCACUCUGGCCUAGGUGAUAGAGCGAGACCCUGCAUAUGCUGCUUCUCAAAGGGCACUGGCAUCUCAAAAGAGCAUGCUGUAGAGCAGGCUGAAGCCAAAGAGUUCAAUUCUCAAGGUGAAUUCACAGGUCAAUGUCACCAGAUGGAGCAAAACUUUUUAGGAGAAGGAAGAAAGUGUCCUUUCAGGCUUUUCCAGAGCGAGGAGAGAGUGUCCUUUCCACCUAUUAGAGGCAGCCUGCUGACACCCCUUCCAGGCUCACCUGAGGUGCACCAGCAUUUGCUAAUACCUGCUUUCCCCAGACCUUUAUCCUAUUCACCCACAGUUCUUUCCAAUUAGAUGACUAACAGGCUUGCUCCUUUACUUAAAAGGGAAGCUUCAUUGUAAAACUCACUAAGGUGAAGGCAAUUUCCUGGGGUUGUUAGCAUGCUCUCCUCAGGACCAACUCCCUGCAAGCCUGAAGAAAUGAGAGCUUGGAUUAUUUCAGCAGCUUCGAUUAUUCCUGAGGGAACUGGCUACCCCCAUCGUCCCCCGCUCUUCACUACCUUACAGGGUACUCUCUUUCCUGGAGGGAGAUUGGUAAUUCCCUUUGGAAACACUGAGCAGUCUUCUAGAGGGCCUGUCUAGGGAAGUGAUGAAAUAUCACAUGCAGUGUGCACUAGAAGCCUUGUAAAGUCAAUGAACUCAAUUUUGUUCACUUUAAAGUGAAAUGAACUUGCCUUAACACACUGAAGCAGACAAAUCCAUCCUUCAUAGCAGAGAAGGGAACAUGAGUGGAACUGUAACCAGGAGACAGGAAUGGCAGAUUUGUGGCCAGGAAUUUCUCCCUAGUUUGUGCUCAGGAAAGCAGAAGUUUGGGAUCAUGGAAGGGGCAGCAGGCUAAGUGCCAGGUGAAACUCAUCCCUCAGGACCUUCCCUAAGGCUAGCAUCAGAUCCAUUCCUAUCUUCCUUUUCCAGUCCUAUCUCCACACUCUCUCCUUCAACCCUCAAGCAUUCCAGCACACUCUCUGAAUUCCAAAUCAAUGUCAGAAUCUUACCACUUCUGGCCCUUUAUCCUUCCUCUCAAUUCCCACUUCUCCCAGAUGUCUGAUCUCACAGGCUCUUGCUUUAAGAGCCUGUUUCUCUCCUCCAAGCUAGAAGGGAUCAUCUUCUCAUCCUCCAGACUCAGAAGAGCAAUUUAUCUUUACUACUCUUGGUGCUCUCAUUACUGUCUAUCUUGUAGGUGAAGGAACAGCCCCAAGGUCAUAUAGCAAUUCAAGGCCAGGUCUCUUGACUUUCUCUCCUGUGAUCUUUGUACUGCUUCAUACUUCUCCUCAAAUUUGGGAAGGCAAAAUCUGAAGUCAGAAUAGGAGCAAAAGGAGGCAGCUUUGUUUCUUACAUUUGUUGCCAGAGAGGCUGCAAAAAGGCGGUUACCUAAGCCACAGAGGCCUUGAUUUAGCAGUGAAGACCACAGGGAGUCACUCAGAAUGGUUUAUUUGUGCACAUAGGUGGAGCUCCUUUGUCUACCUCUGACAGCAAGGUAUCCCUGACUCCCAUUCCCCUGGGAGCAUCUAUGAGGAUGCACAUAUCUCAUUGAAAAUCUAAGGAGAUAAAGUUUUAUAUGCUAGAAUUGCUCCUAGGGACAGAGACAGAGAGUAAGAGGUAGAAAGAGAGAUUAACACCCCAUCCACAAGACAGGCCAUCCUGGACUGCCUGUGAUGUGGGAAAUUGGUCAAGAUGAGAGUUUAUGAAUUUCGAUCAGAAAAUUUAAAUGUAGGAAUAGAAUUUAAAAAGGUAUUGAUUUUUUGGCAUGGAGGGAUUGGAAAUAAUAUUUUGCUAAGAGGCUUGAGGCUAAGGGUUUGAUGCCCAAAGAUCAUGUUUGGCCAGCAAGAGAAGUUUCCUAAAUUGUCUCAAGGGGCACAGCUGUCUGCCUUGCAGCCAGCUAUUUUCUUGUUAUUCCUCUCUAAAGGAGUCCUGAUUAUUUUCAGAUGUCAACCUUUCCCUCAUUUGAACCAGGAAAGGCUCACCCAUCCACUACCUCCAGAACGGCAUCCUAACUAGUCUAAGCCAGGAGUCAGCAAACUAAAGCCCAUGGACAAAACAUGGCCAGCCACUGCUGCCUGUAAGCUAAGAGUGGUUUUUACAUUUUCAAAUGACUAGUAAAAUAAACCAAAAGAAGGAUAGUGUGUGUUGACACAUAAAAAUUAUACAAAAUUCUAAUUUCUGUGGCCAUGUUUUUUAACAGCUUUAUUCAGAUAUAAUUCACAUACUGUACAAUUCACCCAUUUAAAGUAUACAAUUAAAUGGCUUUCAAUAUAUUCACAGGGCUAUACAAUUAUCACCACAAUCAAUUUUAGAACAUUUUCACUACCCCCAAAAGAAACCUCAUGCCCUUAAGCCAUCACCCCUCAAUCCCCCUAGUACCUCAAGCUCUAGAUAGUCAAUAAUCUAUUUUCAGUCUUUGUAGAUUUAUCUGUUCUGGACACUUUAUAUACAUAAAUAAAGUUUUAUUGGAACACAUCCACGCUCAUUUACAUUUUGUCUAUAGCUGCUUCUGCACUAGAACGACAGAGUUGAAUUGUUGUGACAGAAACCAUAUGUCUCACAAAGCCUAAAUUAUUUACUAUCUCCUUCUUUACAGGGAAAGUUUGCAGAUCCCUGGUCUAAGCCAAUUAGAGUCUGGCAUUCCUUUAGAAUCUGUUUUUGGGCCAGGGAUGAGUAUUUGAGCUUUGUUGACCCCAUCAGACAUGAAGAAAAAAAUUUCCUCUUCACAUGAAAUAGGUUUCUUUUUCCUGAGCUUUGCAGGGUGUGACUCAGCUGCUAUUGGAAGACAUCUAGGCACUGUGAGUGGACAGCCUGAUGACAGCAGUGAAGAUGACAGAGCCAAUAAAGAGAAAGCAGUUCAGUGCUGGAUUACUGAAUCAGCCAAUCCUGAAAUCCAUGUACCUCUGGAUUUCCUGUCACAUGAAAUAUCCUCAUUAUUUAAGACAACAUGAUGUAGAGUUUCUGUUACCUAUAGCCAAAAGCAGUCUACCAGAUACAGCUUCUUGCUAAAGAGGUGGCUGAGUAAUGUGCUGGUUUGGACCAAAGCUGAAUUUUCCUGGACAAUGAAAGAGAGUCUAAGCGUAGAAGCCAUGAGAUCUCUUCUUGCUCUACUCUUUCCCUAUGCAAUGUUCUGCCUCUGUAAGCAACUGGCAAUGUUCAGAAGGGAUUAUUUUCAAGGAAUACCAACGUAUUGGCCUGCCUAUUCAUCUAUAUGUCCCUGGUUUAUCAAGAAGGCUGCUCAAGUUUGAGAUAUGGCUCUUAACCCCAUUUAUAAAUAAAUAAAUGAAUAAAAUGAAUAAAAGUUGAAUUGCUCUGUUUAAAGUAGGAAUGUUAUGUUUUUGAGGGUGGUGGGCAGAAUCUGAUCUAUAGCUUACUGAGUCUCUAAUGUACUCGUCUCAACAUGUCUUUUAUAGGAGGGAAAAAUGUAGCCAGCACUUGUAGCUAGCUAGCCAAAUCACCACACUCAACAAUAUAAGGGUCUCUUGCUAAGGAAGAAGAGGGAAUGGGUAUGCCUAGAUAGAGGGAAACCUUUACCAUCCUUGGUAAGCACCCCUUGAUGUCAGCUCCAGUGCUUGGGAAAGCCACUGCCUGUUUAAGAA